Long non-coding RNA from Gymnogyps californianus (California condor), 429 nucleotides. RefSeq lists it as uncharacterized. NCBI's taxonomy places the organism in Eukaryota, Metazoa, Chordata, Aves, Accipitriformes, Cathartidae. The transcript has 4 exons. The record is from RefSeq and is a predicted model, not a curated record.
UUUCCUUCUGCUUUUUCUUUGCAAGAAAUGCAUUAUACUUCUUGUUGGUCCCAACCAACUUAUCCUACCAGGUGAAGACAGGGUUGUGAGUGUGUGAGAAAGCCCGAGUGUCUGGGAAACCUCCGUGUCCAUUUACCUGGUGCCUGCCAAGCAGUGUGUACUCUUGUUCACUGGCAGCGUGCACAUCUCGCCUCUUGCUACUUCUUGUGUGUCCCUACAGCCUGUUUUGAAACCUUUUAAUGCAGAGGGAUGAGCCUGGGACUGACCUCGAGGAAAACGUGAACGGAGGAAAACGUGAACGGAGGAAACGACAGGAGUGUCAGGAGGCAGUACCCAAGUGAAAUUACAUUUCUUAAUAAGGAAACUCGGCUGCACGGAGUUUGGAAGGUGCUCUGCAGAAAUGUAAUAACUGCUUGUUCACCUGUCAAA